GAACGAACGCUGGCGGCGCGUCUUAAGCAUGGCAAGUCGGACGGCAAGGCGGGAGCUUGCUCCUGCCUAGAGUGGCGGACUGGUGAGUAACACGUGGGUGACAGUACCCGUGGGGUUGGGGAUAGCCGGUAGAAAUACCGGGUAAUACCGAAUACGAAUACACAGGUUAGAGUGGUGUAAGGAAAGGAGCUGCGGCUCCGCCCUGGGAUUGGCCCGCGGCCCAUUAGCUAGUUGGAGUGGUAAAGGCACACCAAGGCGAUGAUGGGUAUCCGGCCUGAGAGGGUGAUCGGACACAUUGGGACUGAGAUACGGCCCAGACUCCUACGGGAGGCAGCAGCUAAGAAUAUUCCGCAAUGGACGAAAGUCUGACGGAGCGACGCCGCGUGGAUGAGGAAGGCCGGAAGGUUGUAAAAUCCUUUUGGGACUGAAGAAUAAGCAGUGUAGGGAAUGACAUUGUGGUGACGGUAGGUCCUGAAUAAGCAACGGCUAAUUACGUG
RNAcentral lists this ribosomal RNA (497 nucleotides) under uncultured bacterium. RNAcentral's name for it is "bacterial SSU rRNA". It matches the Rfam family "Bacterial small subunit ribosomal RNA", at positions 27 to 507 of the family's 1533-position model. The record is from RNAcentral.